UGGAGGGAAGAGAGGCGAAAUUAUAGUGAGUUGGCGGCCUUGGCUUGGAUGGCGUUCAAUCAAAUCAAAAUUUAUUAAAAUUUGGGAGCCAACCGACCAAGCAAGCGGAGAAAAAGCCCAUUCCAUUCCAUUCCUUACCCGCACCGCACGCGGCCCGAAUCAAAGCCUUUCCCCUUCUCCUCUUCUCUGGCCAUCCGCCGCCUCCUUCUCAUCCCAGCGACGACGGCGGCCGAUCUACCUCGACCUCCACCUCCACCUCCACGCAUCCAUGGAGGAGGCAUCCAACCCUAGCCCCAUUGGGUCACCGGCGCUGGAUCCUCCGUUGUGCGGCCGGAAGGAGCAGCUGCUGGCACGGGACGUUGCUCGGCGACGAGGCGUGCCGGCGAAACACGGGCCACCAGGGCAGCAACCACGACGCCCUCCCUCUCUACUCGACCUUGAUGAAGAUACGCUGUACCCGUCAGGGUCCUGACUGAUCGAGUGACAAGUAGGAUUUGGGUGGAUUCAGAUAAAGAACAGCAGCGGCAGGAGAGUUUUCAGUUUUAGUUUCAGACAAGGUAGGCAGGCUGAGGCAGGUGCCUGAUGGAGGCGUUCAGUAAACACUGAAACACAUAAAUGGAAAAGUACCUACAUCUCCCACGUUUAUGCACAAAGAGAUGGCCUGCUGUUUGUGUAUGCUGGAUUUUGACUAAUUCAAUGUCUGGCGGUCCAGAUUAUAUGGUCAGAAGCUCGGUGUAUUAUUGAUCUGUGAUGUUCUGUGAUGCCAAUAGAGCAACCUUUGUGCUUCUUGUGAUUUUCCUACAAUAAUCAGUGUCACCGUUCAAGUGGAUUUA
Long non-coding RNA from Triticum aestivum (bread wheat), 833 nucleotides. RefSeq lists it as uncharacterized. NCBI's taxonomy places the organism in Eukaryota, Viridiplantae, Streptophyta, Magnoliopsida, Poales, Poaceae. The record is from RefSeq and is a predicted model, not a curated record. The transcript has 2 exons.